This 87-nucleotide small nucleolar RNA is filed under the name Ascochyta rabiei. Its description in RNAcentral is "Didymella rabiei A. fumigatus snoRNA Afu_300". It matches the Rfam family "A. fumigatus snoRNA Afu_300". Lineage: Eukaryota; Fungi; Ascomycota; Dothideomycetes; Pleosporales; Didymellaceae. The record is from Rfam by way of RNAcentral.
UCCAAUGAUGAUCAGUUUGUGCUUUGCACGCUGGAAAUUACCGGCUCAGGUUUCGACCGAUGCAGAUAAAAAAGGCUGUUUCUGAUA